RNAcentral lists this unclassified non-coding RNA (283 nucleotides) under Hevea brasiliensis (rubber tree). Lineage: Eukaryota; Viridiplantae; Streptophyta; Magnoliopsida; Malpighiales; Euphorbiaceae. The record is from RNAcentral.
UAGGUCUUGUGCGGACGAAGAGCAAUUGGAUAUGUAAAGGUAAGGUCUUUGGGGUUUGAUGGGGAUUAAUGGGGAGAAACAAGGAGUUCGCCAAGAAAUGGAGGAAGGGGAUAGUAAAACGGGAGUUGUCGAAUGGUGGUGAAGGGGAAACAAAGUGGAUGAUGAAGAAGGAAAUAGGGAUGGAGAACAUAGUAAGCGAAGUAACGCCAUUGAUGAAGUGGAAGAGCUGUGUAAAUGGGGCUAUUCAAAGGCAGCUGCAGUUGGGGGAUAGUUUACGACUGGA